RNAcentral lists this ribosomal RNA (253 nucleotides) under uncultured bacterium. RNAcentral's name for it is "partial 16S ribosomal RNA". It matches the Rfam family "Bacterial small subunit ribosomal RNA", at positions 524 to 776 of the family's 1533-position model. The record is from RNAcentral.
UACGUAGGGCGCAAGCGUUGUCCGGAAUUACUGGGCGUAAAGCGCGCGUAGGUGGUUUGUUAAGUUGGAUGUGAAAGCCCCGGGCUCAACCUGGGAACUGCAUUCAAAACUGACAAGCUAGAGUAUGGUAGAGGGUGGUGGAAUUUCCUGUGUAGCGGUGAAAUGCGUAGAUAUAGGAAGGAACACCAGUGGCGAAGGCGACCACCUGGACUGAUACUGACACUGAGGUGCGAAAGCGUGGGGAGCAAACAGG